Long non-coding RNA from Ictalurus punctatus (channel catfish), 6602 nucleotides. The record is from Ensembl. NCBI's taxonomy places the organism in Eukaryota, Metazoa, Chordata, Actinopteri, Siluriformes, Ictaluridae.
CCCACCCCCACCACCACUGAUCUUUUGUGCCCAUCAGAUGUGCACGCUGUGUUCAAUGAUUCAAAUCUAUGCAGUAAUAUUUUGCCUAUUUCUAUUAAAAGAAAAUCUUUUUUUUUUUUUGUAAUAUCUGAACUUUCCACACGUAGAACCCAGAUUUCGGGCGAGAUUAUUUAUAGGCGUGAUGACUGUAACGAUUUCGGGUUGUGGUUUCCACCACUGCGGCGGAAUUAGAAAAUUCUCGGAUCCCGGGGACUUCCCGGACCCCGCUGUGGACUAUGGACCUAACGAUGGUCACGGGAUCCGAAAGGGCCCCAAGGGGAAAUGGAAAAGCUAGCGUUGAUGGUGAUGGUGGUGGAAGAGCGCUGAAACGCGAGGCAGGGUUCCGUUAGAACCGAGUGGGUUCUAGCACCGAGAUUAGAACGAGAGAUUACAGACUACAGGUGUUCACACCGGUACUCGGUGGAAUUAAACUGGAAGGAAGUCUCUGAGGUAUUUGCCUCCUAUCUAGCUGAUGGAGUGGGAGGUGUGUGUGUGUGUGUGUGUGUGUGUGUGUGUGUGUGUGUGUGAGAGAGAGAGAGAGAGAGAGAAAGCAGGAAUAAGGUGGCGCUAGAGACUACUGCUGAGAAGCCUUCAUUACUUCAGUAAUCAUGACCUCACUGCCUGAAAAUGCACAGAGUCGAUGUUAAGUGCUGUUUUAGUGUCUCUGGUUGGACACACACACACACACACACACACACACACACACACACACACACAGUGUUUUCAGUAAGCACUUCUUGUAAUGACCGAUCGAAACUGUAAAAACUAACCGGAGUGAGUGAGUGUGUGUGUGUGUCCACUGUUUGUGCUCCUCUUACUCUGUCUUGAGUAUUCUUCUCAAAAUGGCUGAAUAGUGAGAUGUUAAGACUGAUAGCUGCCUCUGACCCACAUGAAAACUUUCCCAUGCCUCUGUGUGAGUGUGUGUGUGUGUGUGUGUGUGUGUGUGUGUGUGUGUGUGGCUGCUGUGCACUCUAUAGUCAAUAACACAAAGCCCUAAAAUAUUAUUAUUAUAAUAUUAGUGGAAAUGUUUUUGCAGACUAAUAGGCAUGUUAUAUGGAAUGACUAUAGGAGUGUGUGUGUGUGUGUGUGAGAGAGAGAGAGAGAGAGAGAGAGAGAGAGAGAGAGACACCCUGAGGUCAGCAUUCCAAACUCUAGAUGAAGCUAUUAUUUUAUGGCUGUCCAAUUGGAUUUGACUCUUAAUGCAGAUUCAAUAAUAAAUAAAUAAAUAAAUAAAGUCAUCGGUCAUUUCCUCAACGCGCAUCACUUAACGCUCUGAAUGGAGAUUUUUAAUUAUACGCCAAUUUCGUUGUUAAAGGUAAUUAUAAUCCAUUAAAUGUAAUUAUGAUCGCGCGUGUCCCCGAAGUGACGCGUUCCCGAAGCGGGCGUGUCACGUCGACGUUCUCUCCGUCGCCGACUUAUACGGGUCUCGCGUUUCAAAAUGGCUCCCGUAUCGUCGGAGGACCGUAAAACCGAGCUCGGUAUCGGUAUCGAGACGCUAAAGUGGCGCUCUGUGUGAUUUUUAUCGUUAUUUUUCUUUACAUAAUAAAGUGACACUUUUCUGUACUACUGCUCGUGUCUGAGCUGAUCAAUACUCAAAUGCUUUAACAUACUACAUCUUUGAGGUAAUUAAAAAGGACAGCUGGAACGUGAGUGAUUUACGAGCGUACGUGCGUGUACGUGUGUGUACGUGUGUACAUGCAUCACACACACAGGGUUAUCCAUCUCAUCUGUGACGGUUGAUAUGAUCAGUAUGGCUAUAAGGGCUCGGCUGUGCGCAGCUGGCUGUACUCCUCAGCAGCACUCUCACACACACACACACACACAGAGUCAGCUAUUUUUCAUCUCCCACAUGAGAGACGUCUCUUAAUACGCUCCCCGCACGACUUGUGUACACAUACCUCAGCAGUGGGUCUGAGUCAGCGAUCUCUGUUCAUCAUCAUAAUGACUGUGUUCCUCUUUAAUCGAGGGGUUUGAUUGAGGUCCUCAUUUUAGAACCGAUUCCAGUCUCAGCACUUCCUCACACACACACACACGGUGUCUCUUUAAUCGUUGACCUGAUUUCUGAUUUUGUCGUGUUUCCCGCGAAGCGACCGAGCUGUCUCGAACCCUCAGCAUCUCAUCAUAGUUUAUGAUAUUUCUAGGCUUAAUAAUUUAAAUCCAGCCCUAAUCGCUAGCAGGUUAUCGUCUCAUAAAAAACGUUUCACGUUACACAGCGGCUGCGUCCCAAAUCGUACACUCGCGCACUACACCGUUCUGUAGUGCACUUAUCCAACCGAGUUAAAAAACCGAGCCCGGAUCGUCACACACUCGGUGCGCAGCUUUACGGUCGUGGCUUUGCUUACGUGGCGUAGCCGAAGAGGGGCGGGGCUACCAGGUGCUGAUGGGAGAGGUGCCAAGCCAUCGCAGGGCACAAUCGUACACCCAUUCACACGCUACGGAAUUCGGAAAUGCCAAUCAACUUGGACUUGGAAUGAAUGAAUGAAUGAAUGAAUGAAUGAAUGAAUGGGCUUUGGACUGGUGGAGGAAACCGGAGGGCUCCGUACUCCAACUCCGUACGCACGGGGCAGAGGCAGAAACCGAACACUUCCUUACAGAAAACGUCACCAUAAACUACGAUUAUACGCGUUCACCGUACGAGUCCCUGUUGCUAUAGAAACGGUAACGCAUUAAUGCGGUUGGCAGAGGAGAUUCAACACUGUGCUACAGAACCGAUUAUCGGCUCGUUCGUGCUGGUACAUGGAAUGUUGAAAUUGUCUCCGGAAUAAUAUUGGCUUAUUCGUACGUGGCGUUCCAGGCAGCAGCGGGUUAACCGUACAGGCUCCACCGUGGUGACAGUAAUUCCCGCCUACGCUCGGCCAAGAAAAACAUAAUGUGUUUUUAUUUGAUGUGGUGUAUCUCUUCAUAUCAGAUAAUAGACGGUUUAGCACAGAGCAUCUCCUUUAUGAGCAGUGGCAGAUGGUGAUGAGAGGCAGUACCUCCACAGACACUCCAGUUAACGCUCAGCGUAAUAUUGGUACACACACACAGACACACACACAAAGCAGUGAGAACAGUUCUCACUCCUCAUCAAAGAGCUCGCUGCGUUCGAGGCGCUCUGUAGAAGAUCAGAGCAGCGCGCAACAUCUGACCAAAUUAGCGCACGGAUCAGAGGAGCGAUACAUAAUUCAAUAAGCCGGGGACGAGCCGUGUGCGUCCUCGUUAAUGCAGCUACGCUCAAACUACUGUUCUUAUCCUUCACUAUUCUACUAUUCUAACCAAACUCGGUUCUCAUCCUGUGCUUGGGCUGUUUCUGUUCUAACCCAGACCUGACAAGCUGAGUAGAACAGACCGGUAACGAAAUAAAAUCUAUUUUGCAAGCCAGUCGAUGUUUGCUUGAAUUUGGAACAAUUCGCAGUUGCGCUGUUGAACCGACCCCCUGAAGCAUCCCCUUUUCUCCAAGCACUGUUGAACCGACCCCCUUGAAGCCCCGCCUCCGUCCCCUUUUCUCCAAGCACUGUUGAACCGACCCCCUUGAAGCCCCGCCUCCGUCCCCUUUUCUCCAAGCGCUGUUGAACGGACCUGAAGCACAGUGAAAUUCUUUUCUUCACAUACCCCAGCAUGUCAGGAAGUUGGGGUCAGAGCAAAGGGUCAUCCAUGAUACAGUGCCCCUGGAGCAGAGAGGGUUAAGGCCUUAAGGUUGAGCCUUGCUCAAGGGUGCCCAACAGUGGCAGCUUUGCAGUGCUGGGGCUAGAACCCCCGACCUUCUGAUCAGUAACCAGAGCCUUAACCGCCAAGCCACCACUGCCCCACUGCAAAAGUAUGGGGGACUUGACUAUCACACCCCCUAUGUAGGACUUCCUGAAACUAGAAUUGUCUUUGUUUGUUGUAGCAUUAAGAUUUCCCUUCACUGGAACUGAAGGUCCCGGACCUGUUCCAGCAUGGCCGUGCCCCUGUGCACAAAGCGAGCUCCGUGAAGACACGGUUUGCCAAGGUUGGAGUGGAGUCGAAGCAGUAACUCAACAGUGAAAAUGUUGGCCAUAUGGAAACAUUUCAUCUCUUGUGUGCUGUUUGUAAUCAACAAGUAACUUAUUUUGGUUUUAUUUAAGACUUUGUAUUGUUCAAAGUGAGGUCUUGACGUUUUGAUGCUGUUACUCUUUCUGUUCAGUUCUUAUUUACGGACUGGUGAGAAGGCCAUGCUGUAGCACGCUAACUCCGUGUUGGAAUAAUACUAUUGUUUGUGUCUGGUUGGAGAAGCCAGGUUAGUUAGACCGAAUGGAAGCGUCAUGCUGCUGAUGUCACCGUGUGGUCAUGCGUUAGGAAUCCGUUCCGCCUUAUAUGCCUAGGAAAUGUCUCAAGCGCUGAUGUCACGAGACCUCGGGAGUCUCUGAAAACAUUUUCUCACACACCGGGUGGAAUGCGGAUGACGACAGCAUCGCACUUCAGUUCUACUCACAAACCGAGGUGUUGUGAGUGCACAGACUCCUAGGAUCUCUCAGGGUACCAUUUACAGGAUGUUGAAAUGACUAUAUCUUACAAUCAGCAAAGAAGGAAGAAGACUCCUCAGGUCAGAGAUUUCCAGACUAAUCAGAGGGCCAGCAUAGUUGUAGGUUUUUAUUCUAACCAAGCAGGAGCACUUGAAACAGCUUUGAAGACUGAGAUGAGUUGGUUUAAUGUUGAAUCAGGUACACCUCCUGCUUGGUUGAAAUGAACACUUGCAGCCAGAUGAUUCACGAUGUGUGGAUAAAAUCAAACAUCCCUGCCUUAGAUCUUUGAACUUCACCCCUUCGUCAUGAAGCAUGAACUGUCGGGGGUUGGGGGGUUCAAGAACCCGGCAAGGAACCGUAACGGGUUCCUGAAUGCUUUUUCAUGUUCUCCCACCAUGCAGGAACUGUGCCCUUUAUGGAACAUAAGUUAUACGACAUCAUUUCAAGAACGUGAACUCCCCACCCAUGGCUCACAAACCUUGGCCUACGUUUUUUUGUACACUUAUCUGGACGUAAGGUGCAGGAUCUUGCAGCUCGCAGUCCGAUCGGCUCUCUGAUUUCACCGUAUUCCGAGCAAGACCUGAGGAAAGAUGAAGGCCUCGUGUAUUAAAAAGUGAAUCAGUGGGGGAGUAUACAUGGUUGGCCGUUUGCGUAGUCAGUCUGAGUAGCGGGUUCUUGGCUGUGUCGGUUGGACGAGUCUUGAGUGAAGUGUGGCAUGCAAGAUUAAUGGGCUGUGUUUGCAUUUUUUCCCCCCCUCGUCCGAUACGGGCCCCAUUUGAAACAAGGAUCUAAAUCUGAAACCUAUCUAAACAUCUGCGCUUCCUGUUAAUUCUGAAGUUCUCGUCAUUGUUUUGUAACGAUAUACUAGGACGAAACAAAUUCGCUGAACCUGAAUCGUGGUGCGUAGUCCGUGGAAUCCAGAUGAAAUAAAACGUUUCAUCAAUCUCUGUGGGGGUUCAACCAUUCAAAAAAAAACCCCCAACUAUCUACGAGGACAUCUCUCGGGUCAUUGCGGAGCAAGGAUACGUUUGUUCCCGUCGGGAAAAAAAAACACAAAGAGGAUGAAGACCAGAGUGAUGACGGUUGGAGCAAGAGAAUCAGUUGCUGCUCAAGGGGUGUUACAGGGCAACGUGGCGCACUAUGAUGAAAGCCGUAUUCGCAGUCCUUCUCAUACGAUUGGCUAGUGUCGCUGUGGUCGACAGGGGGUAGAGAGAGUACACCAUCUCUCCCACUCGGAGAUCAAGGCCAGGUUUACGCUCUUGAACGCUUGAACAUUGAUGGCUAUGGCCUUGUUGGGAGAUCCCACAAACAGGGUGAACGAUCUUCUCCUGCAUCACUCAGGAGCUUCAUCACGCAUCUUUCUACAACAAUGUUAAUGGUAAAUAGUUGCUGUUUCCUGGCUCGGGUGUUGUGGGAGGGAAUGGAGUAAACACGGAAUCGUCUAUGGAUCAGGCCGCAACGGCGAUCGGUGCCGCAAGCUGCGCCUUGGUAAUCACUGGAGCAUGAGCUAAAAAGGUUCCAGGUUUAAUCACGGAUGAAGUUCCCGUGAUGAAACCGCACCUUUAAUACUUUAGGAGAACCAUAGAGCGCCUUUAAAGUCCUUCCUGUGUGAGCUGCUCCACACUGUACACAGUUAUUGGAAGCUAGUGAUGUGAUCACAGAUCGGUCUCGAGGGCCGCCUCAGGGUGUGUGUGUGUGUGUGUGUGUGUGUGUGUGUGUGUGUGUGGUGGGGGAGUUUGAGCGGAUGGCCUGGGGCCCUCAGACAGGGAAUGGGAAUUCCAUUUCCCCAGAGAUGCAACGCUCAGCCCCCCUGUCAUCCAUCUUCCAGUGUCUGCAGUGGGGAAAGAAGAUCUGUCAUGGUGUGUGUGUGUGUGUGUGUGUGUGUGUGUGUGUGUGUGUGUGUGUGUCACGCUCCAUCUCCCUUCAUAGUCACUCGCGCAACCCCCCUUUUCCUGUACACUGUGGUACACUCCACCCCCAGUCCUCGAUCUCCUACCCUGUACUCGUUCUUUAUCUUUCCCCUCCUCCUUCCUUCCUUCCUUCCUUCAUCAGCAGACCCACCCCACCCCCACCCCCCCACUCGCUCUCUCUCACUCGCUC